Molecule: ribosomal RNA, 755 nt
Filed under: uncultured bacterium
Lineage: Bacteria
Description: bacterial SSU rRNA
Rfam family: Bacterial small subunit ribosomal RNA
Source: RNAcentral
AAUUCGCCCUUAGAGUUUGAUCCUGCUCAGGAUGAACGCUGGCGGUGUGCCUUAGGCAUGCAAGUCGAACGAGAAUCUCUCUUCGGAGAGAGGACAGUGGCAGACGGGUGAGUAACACGUAGGAAUCUACCCUUUAGUGGGGAAUAGCCCGCCGAAAGGCGGGGUAAUACCGCAUAUGGCCGCAAGGUCAAAGUCUUCGGACGCUAAAGGAGGAGCCUGCGCGCUAUCAGCUAGUUGGUGGGGUAAUGGCCUACCAAGGCUACGACGGCUAGCCGAUGUGAGAGCAUGAUCGGCCACAAGGCUACUGAGACACGGAGCCUACACCUACGGGUGGCAGCAACCGGGAAUAUUGCGCAAUGGACGAAAGUCUGACGCAGCGACACCGCGUGCGGGAAGACGCUCUUCGGAGUGUAAACCGCUGUGGCGAGGGAGGAAAUUUUGACAGUACCUCGCUAGAAAGCACCAGCUAACUACGUGCCAGAAGCUUCGGUAAUACGUAGGGUGCAAGCGUUAUCCGGAUUUACUGGGCGUAAAGGGUCAGUCGGCGUCCUUGUAAGUUUCUUGUCCAAGCCCAGGGCUUAACUCUGGAAAGGCAAGGAAAACUGCAAGGAUAGAGUCCGUUCGAGGAAGUUAGAAUUCUCGGUGGAGGGGUGAAAUCCGUAGAUAUCGAGAGGAAUACCAAGCGCGAAGGCAGACUUCUAGGACGUGACUGACGCUCAGAGACGAAAGCUUGGGUAGCAAAGCGGAUUAGAGAC